Molecule: transfer RNA, 84 nt
Filed under: Shigella phage vB_SflM_004
Lineage: Duplodnaviria; Heunggongvirae; Uroviricota; Caudoviricetes; Andersonviridae
Description: tRNA-Asn
Rfam family: tRNA
About the family: Transfer RNA (tRNA) molecules are approximately 80 nucleotides in length. Their secondary structure includes four short double-helical elements and three loops (D, anti-codon, and T loops).
Source: RNAcentral
GGGUAGUUGGCUGAGUGGAUUAAGCAGCGGACUGUUAAUCCGUGUCAUUUGACGACGUAGGUUCGAAUCCUACACUGCCCGCCA